GAAAUGCGAUAAGUAGUGUGAAUUGCAGAAUUCAGUGAAUCAUCGAAUCUUUGAACGCACAUUGCGCCCUUUGGUAUUCCAAAGGGCAUGCCUGUUCGAGCGUCAUUUGUACCCUCAAGCUUUGCUUGGUGUUGGGCGUCUUGUCUCUAGCUUUGCUGGAGACUCGCCUUAAAGUAAUUGGCAGCCGGCCUACUGGUUUCGGAGCGCGGCACAAGUCGCACUCUCUAUCAGCAAAGGUCUAGCAUCCAUUAAGCCUUUUUUCAACUUUUGACCUCGGAUCAGGUAGGGAUACCCGCUGAACUUAAGC
This 307-nucleotide unclassified non-coding RNA is filed under the name plant metagenome. Its description in RNAcentral is "partial contains 5.8S ribosomal RNA, internal transcribed spacer 2, and large subunit ribosomal RNA". The stretch from base 1 to 105 matches the Rfam family "5.8S ribosomal RNA", at positions 50 to 154 of the family's 154-position model. The record is from RNAcentral.